RNAcentral lists this ribosomal RNA (107 nucleotides) under Minisyncoccota bacterium. The record is from RNAcentral. Lineage: Bacteria; Bacillati; Minisyncoccota.
GUUGGUGGCUUAACGCAGUGGGUACACCUGUUCUCAUUCCGAACACAGAAGUUAAGCACUGUAGUGGCGAUGGUACUCAUACAGGGGAGAGUAGCUAGCCGCCAACA